This 164-nucleotide ribosomal RNA is filed under the name uncultured bacterium. RNAcentral's name for it is "partial 16S rRNA". It matches the Rfam family "Bacterial small subunit ribosomal RNA", at positions 355 to 511 of the family's 1533-position model. The record is from RNAcentral.
UAGGGAAUCUUCCACAAUGGACGAAAGUCCGAUGGAGCAACGCCGCGUGAGUGAAGAAGGGUUUCGGCUCGUAAAACUCUGUUGUUAAAGAAGAACAUAUCUGAGAGUAACUGUUCAGGUAUUGACGGUAUUUAACCAGAAAGCCACGGCUAGCUACGUGCCAG